This 73-nucleotide transfer RNA is filed under the name Ovis aries (sheep). It matches the Rfam family "tRNA". Rfam says of the family: Transfer RNA (tRNA) molecules are approximately 80 nucleotides in length. Their secondary structure includes four short double-helical elements and three loops (D, anti-codon, and T loops). Lineage: Eukaryota; Metazoa; Chordata; Mammalia; Artiodactyla; Bovidae. The record is from Rfam by way of RNAcentral.
GGUUCCAUAAUGUAGUGGUUAAUAUAUCUGCUUUACAUGCAGAAGGUCCUGGUUCCAAUCUCCAGUGUAAGCA